Molecule: ribosomal RNA, 301 nt
Filed under: uncultured bacterium
Lineage: Bacteria
Description: partial 16S ribosomal RNA
Rfam family: Bacterial small subunit ribosomal RNA
Source: RNAcentral
CAGUCGCCACGGUAAUACGAAGGGUGCAAGCGUUACUCGGAAUUACUGGGCGUAAAGCGUGCGUAGGUGGUGGUUUAAGUCCGUUGUGAAAGCCCUGGGCUCAACCUGGGAAUUGCAGUGGAUACUGGGUCACUAGAGUGUGGUAGAGGAUAGUGGAAUUUCCGGUGUAGCAGUGAAAUGCGUAGAGAUCGGAAGGAACAUCUGUGGCGAAGGCGACUAUCUGGGCCAACACUGACACUGAGACACGAAAGCGUGGGGAGCAAACAGGAUUAGAUACCCCAGUAGUCCCUGUCUCUUAUAC